Molecule: ribosomal RNA, 384 nt
Filed under: uncultured bacterium
Lineage: Bacteria
Description: bacterial SSU rRNA
Rfam family: Bacterial small subunit ribosomal RNA
Source: RNAcentral
AUUGAACGCUGGCGGCAUGCUUUACACAUGCAAGUCGAACGGCAGCACGGGGGCAACCCUGGUGGCGAGUGGCGAACGGGUGAGUAAUGCAUCGGAACGUGUCCUUAAGUGGGGGAUAACGCAUCGAAAGAUGCGCUAAUACCGCAUAAUCUCUAAGGAGAAAAGCAGGGGAUCGCAAGGCCUUGCGCUUUUGGAGCGGCCGAUGUCUGAUUAGCAGUUGGUGAGGUAAAGGCUUACCAAGGCUUCGAUCAGUAGCUGGUCUGGGAGGACGACCAGCCACACUGGGACUGAGACACGGCCCAGACUCCUACGGGAGGCAGCAGUGGGAAUUUUGGACAAUGGGGAAACCCUGAUCCAGCCAUGCCGCGUGAGUGAAGAAGGCCU